This 253-nucleotide unclassified non-coding RNA is filed under the name uncultured Gammaproteobacteria bacterium. RNAcentral's name for it is "contains 16S-23S intergenic spacer region". It matches the Rfam family "Bacterial small subunit ribosomal RNA", at positions 524 to 776 of the family's 1533-position model. Lineage: Bacteria; Pseudomonadati; Pseudomonadota; Gammaproteobacteria. The record is from RNAcentral.
UACGGAGGGUGCGAGCGUUAAUCGGAAUUACUGGGCGUAAAGCGCGCGUAGGCGGCUUUGUAAGUCAAAUGUGAAAGCCCCGGGCUUAACCUGGGAAUUGCAUUCGAUGCUGCAGAGCUAGAGUAUGGUAGAGGGAGGUGGAAUUCCGGGUGUAGCGGUGAAAUGCGUAGAUAUCCGGAGGAACACCAGUGGCGGAGGCGACUUCCUGGGCCAAUACUGACGCUGAGGUGCGAAAGCGUGGGGAGCAAACAGG